UCGCCUGUUUAUCAAAAACAUAGUUUAGUGAAAAAUUAUACUAAAUGAAUUCUGCCCAGUGUUUUAAUAAAUGGCCGCAGUACCCUGACUGUGCUAAGGUAGCAUAAUCAAUUGGCUUUUAAUUGAAGUCUGGAAUGAAUGAAAUAAUGGAGGAAUGCUGUCUUAAAAGUAUUAAUUUAAAUUUAUUUAAAAGGUGAAAAUACCUUUUUUUAAAAAAAAGACGAGAAGACCCUAAGAAUUUUUAGAUUAAUUUUCAAAAAUUAAUCUUUUUGUUGGGGCGACAGAUUAGAAAACUAAACCUAAUUUUUUAAAUUGGCGAAUUUUUUAAGUAAUAAAAAAUUACCUUAGGGAUAACAGCAUAAUGUAAAAUUUUUUAUGUUUGUGACCUCGAUGUUGGACUAGGAACUUUAUGGCUAGCAGUCAGAAAAGAUUUAUUCUGUUCGAAUAAUUUAAUCCU
This 457-nucleotide ribosomal RNA is filed under the name Bulinus ugandae. RNAcentral describes it as "partial large subunit ribosomal RNA". It matches the Rfam family "Bacterial large subunit ribosomal RNA", at positions 1796 to 2596 of the family's 2925-position model. Lineage: Eukaryota; Metazoa; Mollusca; Gastropoda; Planorbidae. The record is from RNAcentral.